UGGGGAAUUUUGCACAAUGGGGGAAACCCUGAUGCAGCGACGCCGCGUGAUUUAGAAGGCCUUCGGGUUGUAAAAAUCUUUUUUAUGGGAUGAAAAUGACAGUACCAUAAGAAUAAGGUCCGGCUAAAUACGUGCCAGCAGCCGCGGUAAUACGUAUGGACCGAGCGUUGUCCGGAAUCAUUGGGGGUAAAGGGUACGUAGGCGGCCCAGUAAGUUAGAAGUGAAAUAAUAUAGCUCAACUAUAUAAAGCUUUUAAAACUGCUAGGCUUGAGAGAUGGAAGGGAAAGUGGAAUUCCUAGUGUAGCGGUGAAAUGCGCAGAUAUUAGGAAGAAUACCGGUGGCGAAGGCGACUUUCUGGUCAUCAUCUGACGCUGAGGUACGAAAGCGUGGGUAGCAAACAGG
Molecule: ribosomal RNA, 402 nt
Filed under: Verrucomicrobiota bacterium
Lineage: Bacteria; Pseudomonadati; Verrucomicrobiota
Description: Verrucomicrobia bacterium partial 16S ribosomal RNA
Rfam family: Bacterial small subunit ribosomal RNA
Source: RNAcentral